GAUGAACGCUGGCGGCGUGCUUAACACAUGCAAGUCGAACGGAAAGGCCCUGCUUUUGUGGGGUGCUCGAGUGGCGAACGGGUGAGUAACACGUGAGUAACCUGCCCUUGACUUUGGGAUAACUUCAGGAAACUGGGGCUAAUACCGGAUAGGAGCUCCUGCUGCAUGGUGGGGGUUGGAAAGUUUCGGCGGUUGGGGAUGGACUCGCGGCUUAUCAGCUUGUUGGUGGGGUAGUGGCUUACCAAGGCUUUGACGGGUAGCCGGCCUGAGAGGGAGACCGGCCACAUUGGGACUGAGAUACGGCCCAGACUCCUACGGGAGGCAGCAGUGGGGAAUAUUGCACAAUGGGCGGAAGCCUGAUGCAGCAACGCCGCGUGCGGGAUGACGGCCUUCGGGUUGUAAACCGCUUUCGCCUGUGACGAAGCGUGAGUGACGGUAAUGGGUAAAGAAGCACCGGCUAACUACGUG
Molecule: ribosomal RNA, 468 nt
Filed under: uncultured bacterium
Lineage: Bacteria
Description: partial 16S ribosomal RNA
Rfam family: Bacterial small subunit ribosomal RNA
Source: RNAcentral